GACCACCGACGAAUGGGGCGCGUGCAGCGCUUCCUGUGACGGUGGCCACAAACUGAGGAGGGUCUGGUGCUCGGAGACGGCCAACAACACCCUGGUGCAGGUGCCCAAAUCGCGCUGCAGCCAAGACCCGCCCACAAGCCGGGAACCGUGCAACUUCGUGGCCUGCCCCAAAUGGUACCAGGGCCCAUGGUCGGUGUGCUCAGUGACCUGCGGCGACACGGGUCAGCAGACGCGAGCCGUGUUCUGUCGGGACGCUCGCGGCCACCUCAGCGACCACUGCGACCCGGCGCUGAAGCCGGACGGACGCCAGCCGUGCCCCAGUCUCAUCUCGUGCCCUCUCAGCCAGGUCAAGGACGCGCAAGGGCUGCCGCUGGAGCUGCCGUACCAGCUACCGUUGGCGGCGGCGCAGCCCCUCUUCCCCGCGGCCGUCCAGUCCAGCCAGGCCCUCACCCCCAGCACCGACCCCAAGUGAG
Molecule: long non-coding RNA, 473 nt
Organism: Pollicipes pollicipes
Lineage: Eukaryota; Metazoa; Arthropoda; Thecostraca; Pollicipedomorpha; Pollicipedidae
Exons: 4
Source: RefSeq, a predicted model, not a curated record